UACGUAGGGGGCAAGCGUUGUCCGGAUUUACUGGGCGUAAAGAGCUCGUAGGCGGUUCGGUAAGUCGGGUGUGAAACCUCCAGGCUCAACCUGGAGACGCCACCUGAUACUGCUGUGACUCGAGUCCGGUAGGGGAGCGUGGAAUUCCUGGUGUAGCGGUGAAAUGCGCAGAUAUCAGGAGGAACACCAGCGGCGAAGGCGGCGCUCUGGGCCGGAACUGACGCUGAGGAGCGAAAGCGUGGGUAGCAAACGGG
RNAcentral lists this ribosomal RNA (254 nucleotides) under uncultured bacterium. Its description in RNAcentral is "partial 16S ribosomal RNA". It matches the Rfam family "Bacterial small subunit ribosomal RNA", at positions 524 to 776 of the family's 1533-position model. The record is from RNAcentral.